Molecule: long non-coding RNA, 547 nt
Organism: Gambusia affinis (western mosquitofish)
Lineage: Eukaryota; Metazoa; Chordata; Actinopteri; Cyprinodontiformes; Poeciliidae
Exons: 5
Source: RefSeq, a predicted model, not a curated record
GCUCUCCAAUAUAGUAAAUUAUUCUCUCCUGUUCCUCUACUAAUCCAGUCUCCCAGUUUUUAAUCUUUCAGGUUUUAGCUGCUCAUCGCUGGAUCCGUUCAUCGUUGUCCAUGUGGUUCCUGCCUUCUGGAUCCCUUGUUUUUCACACUGCUUGUUGGAUCUCCUCAUCCUGUAAACCUCCACCUUCAACACCACCAGUCAGACGGAGGAAGAUAAGAGAACCCAGUUCACAAAAAGAUUGACCAACAAUGAAAGCAGAAACCUGCUCCACCUGUAAACCUCCACCUUCAACACCACCAGUCAGACGGAGGAAGAUAAGAGAACCCUGUUGACAAAAAAUUGACCAACAAUUAAAGAAGACCUGCUCCACCUGCUGAUCUACUGGCUGUAACAGAUUGUGGAAAAGCAUCACCAGCAGCACUGGACCAAUCAGGAGAGAGAAGACACAGAGGACUGAAGGGACACAGAAAAUCCUGCUGGAAAUCCUGAGAUGAAGUUUCCUGAUGUAACCGGGGGAACCUGAGGACACAGAAUAAAGAAGGACCAU